CCUCGGGGGGCUGCAGUGGGGAAUAUUGGACAAUGGGCGCAAGCCUGAUCCAGCCAUGCCGCGUGAGUGAUGAAGGCCCUAGGGUUGUAAAGCUCUUUCGCCAGGGACGAUAAUGACGGUACCUGGAUAAGAAGCCCCGGCUAACUUCGUGCCAGCAGCCGCGGUAAUACGAAGGGGGCUAGCGUUGUUCGGAAUCACUGGGCGUAAAGCGCACGUAGGCGGAUUUUUAAGUCAGGGGUGAAAUCCCGAGGCUCAACCUCGGAACUGCCGUUGAGACUGGGAGUGUAGAGUCCGGGAGAGGUGAGUGGAACUGCGAGUGUAGAGGUGAAAUUCGUAGAUAUUCGCAAGAACACCAGUGGCGAAGGCGGCUCACUGGCACGGAACUGACGCUGAGGUGCGAAAGCGUGGGGAGCAAACAGGAUUAGAUACCCCUGUAGUC
RNAcentral lists this ribosomal RNA (439 nucleotides) under uncultured bacterium. RNAcentral describes it as "partial 16S ribosomal RNA". It matches the Rfam family "Bacterial small subunit ribosomal RNA", at positions 339 to 795 of the family's 1533-position model. The record is from RNAcentral.